This 494-nucleotide ribosomal RNA is filed under the name uncultured bacterium. RNAcentral's name for it is "bacterial SSU rRNA". It matches the Rfam family "Bacterial small subunit ribosomal RNA", at positions 54 to 518 of the family's 1533-position model. The record is from RNAcentral.
CAUGCAAGUCGAACGGUCUUUCUAUGGAAGCUUGCUUCCACUGAGAAGAUAGUGGGCGAACGGGGUGAGUAACACGUGGGUAACCUGCCCAUAAGAGGGGGGAUAACAUCCGGAAACGGGUGCUAAUACGCAUAGUUUUCUUGAUCGCAUGAUCGGGAAAGGAAAGACGGCCUUUGUGCUGUCGCUUAUGGAUGGACCCGCGGCGUAUUAGUUAGUUGGUGAGGUAACGGCUCACCAAGACGAUGAUACGUAGCCGACCUGAGAGGGUGAUCGGCCACAUUGGGACUGAGACACGGCCCAAACUCCUACGGGAGGCAGCAGUAGGGAAUCUUCCGCAAUGGACGAAAGUCUGACGGAGCAACGCCGCGUGAGUGAAAGAAGGUUUUCGGAUCGUAAAACUCUGUUGUCAGAGAAGAACAAGUUGGAGAGUAACUGCUCCGAGCCUUGACGGUAUCUGACCAGAAAGCCACGGCUAACUACGUGCCAGCCGCCGC